This 2474-nucleotide unclassified non-coding RNA is filed under the name Amphibalanus amphitrite. RNAcentral's name for it is "kinesin-like protein KIFC1, transcript variant X1". Lineage: Eukaryota; Metazoa; Arthropoda; Thecostraca; Balanomorpha; Balanidae. The record is from RNAcentral.
AGCCGAGUUAAAAGCGGGUGUUCAGACACCCCCCCCCCCCCCCGGCCCGGCGCGGAAGUCUUGGAGCACCGUCCCGGCGCGGGUUAAGACAAUCAUUUGUUGUGGAUAACCAGGUGUUUUUCUUCAGCGCUCCCCUUUGCCUCAGUCACGUCUCUGAACGUGGCACCCGUGCAUCACAAGACGCGCUUACCACAUUAAACUUUACUGUCCCUCAUCAGCACUCGUUGGCUUGGUGUGAGACCCCUGCCCUAUGGCCGAGACAGCCGCCAGCCCACCGCGCGGCGCACCCCUCCUCAGCGGGCGGGGUAGUGCAUCACGCGCUCCCCGCCCACACCCUCCCUCCUUCCCGAGUUCGUGUCACGAGGCCAGUGGCGCCAGUGGCGAGGGGACAUUCUCUUUAGACAUGCUGUCCGGUGAGUUCGGGACGGGUGCCGACUGCCGGGGCGGCGACCUCGGAUGGGGCACGGCUAGGGGACGGACGGAGCACCGGCAUUGUCAGCCUGCGGGCAGUCUGCGGUCGGCCCGGGUGGGGUACCGGGUGUCGUAAUGGGAUAUUUUGACACUGCGGCUCGCCGACCAGUGGUCUCUGGAGCUCGCCAGGACGGCAGGUCAGUCCUGACGGCCGCGUAUGUGGCCACGUGACGGUAGUGUGGGCUGCUCAGUUUAUUUUAAAUGUUAUGCCAAAUUAGAUGUCGCUGCUACGGGACCACACACUUCUGUCUUCUGACUUACAUACUUUGUUUGUUAAUUUGUUGUCUGGUUUGCUAUGCACCGUCGCGUCUCUGUCUUCAUCUGGACUGUCGGCGUGUCUUCCGGCAAGUUCCGGCGCCAUUAGCUCCAUCUCCAAAUUCACACCUGGACCGGUGUUCCCGCUGCGUCGGCGAAAUCUGACCUUGAAUGACCUCUGGUGACCUGACCUUGGAACUGACCGAAAAAGUGACCAAAGUGGUUUCGUCAUUAUUAUUGACACUCUUUCGAACGCCGCUUUCCGCGUAGUGCAACGUGCCCCAGCAGCCGAGGCAGAAGGGUGUUUUAACACCCCCCAGCAGGGCAUGGAAAUCCCGGACCCCAGCGGGGCGCGGGUUAUUCGUGGCUAUUGUAAUGGUGUGUUGUCCCUCCCCCCCCCCCUCCUGUGUGAUAACGUAACGGUGACGAGACGGAGUGGCCCUCCCCUCCUCGCAUGGCUGGGUAAUGACGCCUCCCCCCUCUGUGUUACCGGGUGGUGACGACUGACGGUGGCGGAACAAUGGGACGUCUCCUCCCUGCUAGAGCGGGCACGUCAGCAGCGAUCCGUGGACGUCACCCACUGCCACCAGCAGUCGUCUCGCCCCCACUCGGUGUUCACGCUGCGCCGGGAGGAGCGCAGCGAGCUGACACGGCUCACUGUACCUGGUCGACCUGCUCCGGCUCCGAGUCCGCAGCGCAGGGCGACCGGCUCACCGAGACAAACAAUAUCAACUAUAGACCACGUGCCGUUCCGCGACUCCAAGCUGACGCACCUGCUGCACCACUCACUGGACGGCAACAGCAAGACGCUGAUGCUCGUGAACAUGUCGCGGCGCGAGGACGGCGCCGGCGAGACGCUCAACUCGCUGCGUUUGGCCGGCCAGGUCAACCACUGUCUUAUCGGCACCGCCACGAAACCUACCCGGCUGGCCAAUGGCAGUGCACCACGAAUUCGGUACGGCUGAAACAUUACAGCUCUACAACACGCCACUGAUCUUCAUACACCGAACAUCGGGCUUCAGUACAACGUCACUCUGCAGCAGAAAUAAGUGAACGGGAGGAUCGCCACCGAACGCCUUCGACCAAACAUCGCGCCUCACCAAAACGUUACUUUGAAGCUGAAAAAGUGAGCUAGAGGACAAGUGAUGUCACGUUAUGACAACUUGAGUGCCCGUGAAGGCGAUGGCAGGUGCGGUGCUGUCUAUGGAGGUGAGUAUUGAAUAAACGUAUCUCAUGCACUGGGCAAAUAUGAUGUGGAUAUUGAGGUGUGUAUUGAAUAAACAACGUAUCUCAUGCUCGGGACACAUGUGAUGUGUCCAUGGAGGCGUGCAUUGAAUAAACUUAUCAGUCGGGGGAGGUUUGGUCAAUCGUUGUCAUUCUUAGCACGUGCUAUUUUUGUCACACGUGCCAAAAAUGGCAACGGUUCUGUUAUUUUUGACAACGGUGAAGCCGAUUUCACUCCUCAGCGAGGAAAUCACGAUUUUGGAAAUACAAGCACUGAUUUUGGAAAAGAAGUGCUGCCACCUGGUGCAAGAAUAAUAAACCAGCUGUAAUACGGGCCGUUGUAUGGUAAUUUCUUUUGUGGCCUGAAGUUCGAACUUAAAAACUACUGUUACGUGUCAUGUUGUGCCGAACUACGACCAUGUCGUACGCAACUAAAUCAUCGUGUCGGUCGGAACUCUGCUUCAGGGCGAAUUAAGCGGUUUUCUGCGAUGCAUCAUUCGUUUAAAAUAAAAUAGCAUGUCAUU